UACGUAGGGGGCUAGCGUUGUCCGGAAUUAUUGGGCGUAAAGAGCUCGUAGGCGGUGUGUCGCGUCGGCCGUGAAAACCUGCAGCUUAACUGUGGGCUUGCGGUCGAUACGGGCAUCACUGGAGUUCGGCAGGGGAGACUGGAAUUCCUGGUGUAGCGGUGAAAUGCGCAGAUAUCAGGAGGAACACCGGUGGCGAAGGCGGUGGUCUGGGCCGGCACUGACGCUGAGGAGCGAAAGCGUGGGUAGCAAACAGG
This 254-nucleotide ribosomal RNA is filed under the name uncultured bacterium. RNAcentral describes it as "partial 16S ribosomal RNA". It matches the Rfam family "Bacterial small subunit ribosomal RNA", at positions 524 to 776 of the family's 1533-position model. The record is from RNAcentral.